RNAcentral lists this unclassified non-coding RNA (345 nucleotides) under soil metagenome. Its description in RNAcentral is "partial contains 5.8S ribosomal RNA, internal transcribed spacer 2, and large subunit ribosomal RNA". The stretch from base 1 to 119 matches the Rfam family "5.8S ribosomal RNA", at positions 35 to 154 of the family's 154-position model. The record is from RNAcentral.
GAUGAAGAACUUAGCGAAAUGCGAUACGUAAUGUGAAUUGCAAAUUCAGUGAAUCAUCGAGUCUUUGAACGCACAUUGCGCCCCCUGGUAUUCCGGGGGGCAUGCCUGUCCGAGCGUCAUUGCUGCCCUCAAGCACGGCUUGUGUGUUGGGCCCCGUCCUCCGAUUCCGGGGGACGGGCCCGAAAGGCAGCGGCGGCACCGCGUCCGGUCCUCGAGCGUAUGGGGCUUUGUCACCCGCUCUGUAGGCCCGGCCGGCGCUUGCCGAUCAACCCAAAUUUUUAUCCAGGUUGACCUCGGAUCAGGUAGGGAUACCCGCUGAACUUAAGCAUAUCAAUAAGCGGAGGA